CUGGUGCCUUCGGGAACUUUGAGACAGGUGCUGCAUGGCUGUCGUCAGCUCGUGUUGUGAAAUGUUGGGUUAAGUCCCGCAACGAGCGCAACCCUUAUCCUUUGUUGCCAGCGGUCCGGCCGGGAACUCAAAGGAGACUGCCAGUGAUAAACUGGAGGAAGGUGGGGAUGACGUCAAGUCAUCAUGGCCCUUACGAGUAGGGCUACACACGUGCUACAAUGGCGCAUACAAAGAGAAGCGACCUCGCGAGAGCAAGCGGACCUCAUAAAGUGCGUCGUAGUCCGGAUUGGAGUCUGCAACUCGACUCCAUGAAGUCGGAAUCGCUAGUAAUCGUGGAUCAGAAUGCCACGGUAWURGCGU
This 360-nucleotide ribosomal RNA is filed under the name Pluralibacter gergoviae. RNAcentral's name for it is "bacterial SSU rRNA". It matches the Rfam family "Bacterial small subunit ribosomal RNA", at positions 1011 to 1363 of the family's 1533-position model. The record is from RNAcentral. Lineage: Bacteria; Pseudomonadati; Pseudomonadota; Gammaproteobacteria; Enterobacterales; Enterobacteriaceae.